UACGGGGGGAGCAAGCGUUGUUCGGAUUUACUGGGCGUAAAGGGCGCGUAGGCGGCGCAACAAGUCACUUGUGAAAUCUCCGGGCUUAACUCGGAGCGGUCAAGUGAUACUGUUGUGCUAGAGUGCGGAAGGGGCUACUGGAAUUCUCGGUGUAGCGGUGAAAUGCGUAGAUAUCGAGAGGAACACCUGCGGCGAAGGCGGGUAGCUGGGCCGACACUGACGCUGAAGCGCGAAAGCUAGGGGAGCGAACGGG
This 253-nucleotide ribosomal RNA is filed under the name uncultured bacterium. RNAcentral describes it as "partial 16S ribosomal RNA". It matches the Rfam family "Bacterial small subunit ribosomal RNA", at positions 524 to 776 of the family's 1533-position model. The record is from RNAcentral.